RNAcentral lists this ribosomal RNA (254 nucleotides) under uncultured bacterium. RNAcentral's name for it is "partial 16S ribosomal RNA". It matches the Rfam family "Bacterial small subunit ribosomal RNA", at positions 524 to 776 of the family's 1533-position model. The record is from RNAcentral.
UACGUAGGGUGCGAGCGUUAAUCGGAAUUACUGGGCGUAAAGCGUGCGUAGGCGGUUCUCCAAGUCCGUUGUGAAAUCCCCGGGCUUAACCUGGGAAUGGCAGUGGAAACUAGGGGACUUGAAUCUGGCAGAGGGGGGUGGAAUUCCACGUGUAGCAGUGAAAUGCGUAGAGAUGUGGAGGAACGCCGAUGGCGAAGGCAGCCCCCUGGGCUGAGAUUGACGCUGAGUGCACGAAAGCGUGGGGAGCAAACAGG